Long non-coding RNA from Diceros bicornis minor, 2245 nucleotides. RefSeq lists it as uncharacterized. The transcript is spliced from 3 exons. Lineage: Eukaryota; Metazoa; Chordata; Mammalia; Perissodactyla; Rhinocerotidae. The record is from RefSeq and is a predicted model, not a curated record.
GGGUGUGGUUUUCCCUUGUACUCAAGGGUGAUCCCAGGAGUUGGGUCUCAGUGAGGGGAGGCCCUUUAAGGAAGACUUUGAUCCAAUUUAAGGGGAUGAGGUUCCAGCUGUAAUCAGAAAUCAUGACAAAGACAGCAGCAGUCAUACUUUGUAGUAGCAGGACUUGAGGAAAAAAGGCUUCAUCAUUGGCACGGGAAGUGCCCAGACCACCAUCUCCUGCCCUCACUUCCUGACACCUGAGGCCUCAGCGUUGAGGAGAGGAGAAAAACCACAGGGAUGAAGUAGGCCCAGCUGACGGAGGCCGUGGAUGGCAGGGUUUGAAUAUGAUGCGACAGACACUAAGGAUCGCUUUUUCCUAAGUAAGGAUGGGAGGAAGACAGUCACAGAGCUGUCCAGGAGGACCUGAAGGACGAAGAGACCCAGAAUGAUGCCCAAAGGUUGGACUUCUGCAUCAUCAACAUGUAAGCUCUGAGUGAGCUUCUGGAAUUACCACCUUCCUAAAUUAGGAAGAUGUCUAUCUGCAUUCUUCAUCCCCAAGUCCCCAGGAUAGCGGAGCUCGCUGAAAUCUACCCCCAGCUCCCCCAGGAGCCAGGCUUGGGAAUCCCAGUCUGAAGCCCCUACACUACCACCCCUGCUUGACCUUCACCCCAGAGGCCACAGGCUUCACCAUUCCAAGCCCCACAACCUGCAGGCUUGGGGGUACCUCACUGCCCCUGACUCCUGCGAAAGCAUGACUUUCAGGAAUGCUGGGCAACGUCUGGAAAGUCAAUUAGGAAGAACUGGGGAAAAGCCAAGGACUCAGCCUCCGUGACCACCACAGUGAACAGGAACAGGGAGGGUGCACCCAGUUCUGCCCUGGAAAACAGGGUGCCUGUCACCUCUGGACACUCCCUGGGCUGCUUCUUUUGUGUGCGCCCUUCCCACCCCGACUCCCCUCACCAGCAUUUCAGCUCCUGCCUCCUCUCUCAACUGUGCUGUGAGAUGAACAGAGCACCCCAUGGCUAACAAAGCCACGCCAGGCUAUACAGGACGCAGCGAAGCCCACGAGCAGGGCAAGGUGGACAUUCGGCCUGCACACCUGUGCACACAGCAACGCCGCUGCGCCUCUGUGAAGCAUGGGCAAGGGCACUAAUUACAGGCCGUGCAGAGGCAGUGAGCACCUCCUCUCGCCAGAAGGAGGCAGCUUACUGGGCUUUGUCCCCACAGGGCCCAGGGGUUUCAGGAGGACUGGUGGUCCUAUGGCCCCAUAGGCUGUGCAGCGUGGACAGCCCUGCCUUCCCCGCUACCCGUGGUGCUGCACCUUGGCGGAGGGGGCAGGGGCUGGGUGCUCACCUUGUGGUCUAGCUCUGCCCUGGCCUUUGGCUGUUGCUCCCGGCAGGGUGGCAAGGUCUCAGCGCCCAAGUACUGCCCGAGGGAUGAUGGCCUCAUGAGGCUCAGGAGCUGGCUGAGUGAGGAUAGCUGCGGAGGAGAAGGGAGGCCAUCACUCACAGAGGGUGGCAACCGAGUGCGUGGGGCACUUUGGGGACUCUUGGCCUGGACGCCUUGGCUGGCAGGAGCCGGUCAGAGCAUGGGCUCUGGAACCAGACCUCCGGCCUCCUAGACCCGGUCCACCUCUCACUUGGGAGCUGUGUGGUCCCUUGGAGCCUGAGUGUCCUGUCUGUAAAAUGGAGACAGCCACAACUCCUCUCCCCAGGAGAGGAGGGUCACACGCACACGGCACCUGUUACAGGGUGAGCCCCCUCAGAGAGGGAACCAGGAAGAUCUCCAGAGGCUGGAGGUCUAAUCCACUUCCCUGGAGGAAGCAGACACUCGAGGUUUAGAAGAACCAAGACCAGCAGAGAGGUCUCCUCUGCCACCAGGCAAGACCCUUCCCACCCUGAGCUGCUGCUCAUGUCUGCUGGCCCACUCUCCCCUGCGUCCCUCUCUUGUCAUUUAACUUGUUAUCGUGGGGGUUUUCAAUACUCAUGACAGAAGAGAGGCUGUGUAUGAACCCCAUCACUGUGAGUGAUGACCGCAGUCACCAUCACUCUGCCUGCUCUGGUUCACCACCCCCCAACCGCCUGCCCUUUCCCUUCCAGAGAAUUUUAAAGCAAAUCCAAACAUCAUAUCAUUUUACCCAUACAGAGCUUUUAACAGAAAAGGAUAAGGAUUUUUUCAAAACCCCAACAUAAUCACAAUAUCACUCUCUUGGCCAACAAAAUUACCCACAAUUCCUUAUACAACCUAACACCUGUGUUCAGUUUUC